This 253-nucleotide ribosomal RNA is filed under the name uncultured bacterium. Its description in RNAcentral is "partial 16S ribosomal RNA". It matches the Rfam family "Bacterial small subunit ribosomal RNA", at positions 524 to 776 of the family's 1533-position model. The record is from RNAcentral.
UACGUAGGGGGCAAGCGUUGUCCGGAUUUAUUGGGCGUAAAGCGCUCGCAGGUGGCCCGAUGCGUCGUGCGUGAAAGACCCCGGCUCAACUGGGGGGUGUCGUGCGAUACGGUCGGGCUGGAGGCCAGUAGGGGGAUGCGGAAUUGACGGUGUAGCGGUGAAAUGCAUAGAUAUCGUCAAGAACUCCGAUAGCGAAGGCAGCUUACUAAGCUGUAACUGACGCUGAGGCACGAAAGUGUGGGGAUCAAACAGG